This 466-nucleotide ribosomal RNA is filed under the name uncultured bacterium. Its description in RNAcentral is "partial 16S ribosomal RNA". It matches the Rfam family "Bacterial small subunit ribosomal RNA", at positions 28 to 507 of the family's 1533-position model. The record is from RNAcentral.
GAUGAACGCUGGCGGCGUGCUUAACACAUGCAAGUCGAACGGAAAGGCUCCUGCUUGCAGGGGUACUCGAGUGGCGAACGGGUGAGUAACACGUGGGUGAUCUGCCCUGCACUUCGGGAUAAGCCUGGGAAACUGGGUCUAAUACCGGAUAGGACGAUGGUUUGGAUGCCAUUGUGGAAAGUUUUUCGGUGUGGGAUGAGCUCGCGGCCUAUCAGCUUGUUGGUGGGGUAAUGGCCUACCAAGGCGUCGACGGGUAGCCGGCCUGAGAGGGUGUACGGCCACAUUGGGACUGAGAUACGGCCCAGACUCCUACGGGAGGCAGCAGUGGAGAAUAUUGCACAAUGGGCGCAAGCCUGAUGCAGCGACGCCGCGUGGGGGAUGACGGCCUUCGGGUUGUAAACUCCUUUCGCUAGGGACGAAGCGUUUUGUGACGGUACCUGGAGAAGAAGCACCGGCUAACUACGUG